AAUGAACGCUGGCGGCGCGCCUAAUACAUGCAAGUCGAGCGAGAAGACGUAGCAAUACGUUUGUAAAGCGGCGAACGGGUGAGGAAUACAUGGGUAACCUACCCUCGAGUGGGGAAUAACUAGCCGAAAGGUUAGCUAAUACCGCGUACGCUCCUUGGACUUCGGUUCAGGGAGGAAAGCGAUACCGUGGGUAUCGCGCUCUUGGUUGGGCUCAUGUCCUAUCAGCUUGUUGGUGAGGAACGGCUCACCAAGGCUUCGACGGGUAGCUGGUCUGAGAGGACGAUCAGCCACACUGGCACUGCGACACGGGCCAGACUCCUACGGGAGGCAGCAGUAAGGAAUAUUGCGCAAUGGGCGAAAGCCUGACGCAGCGACGCCGCGUGGGGGAUGAAGGUCUUCGGAUUGUAAACCCCUUUCGGGAGGGAAGAUGGAACGAGCAAUCGUUCGGACGGUACCUCCAGAAGCAGCC
RNAcentral lists this ribosomal RNA (469 nucleotides) under uncultured bacterium. Its description in RNAcentral is "bacterial SSU rRNA". It matches the Rfam family "Bacterial small subunit ribosomal RNA", at positions 29 to 492 of the family's 1533-position model. The record is from RNAcentral.